This 207-nucleotide ribosomal RNA is filed under the name uncultured bacterium. Its description in RNAcentral is "partial 16S ribosomal RNA". It matches the Rfam family "Bacterial small subunit ribosomal RNA", at positions 568 to 774 of the family's 1533-position model. The record is from RNAcentral.
CGCGCAGGCGGUUUGUCAAGUCCCGUGUGAAAUCCCCCGGCUCAACUGGGGAACUGCGCGGGAAACUAGCGAGCUUGAGUUCGGGAGAGGGAAGCGGAAUUCCGGGUGUAGCGGUGAAAUGCGCAGAUAUCCGGAGGAACACCAGUGGCGAAGGCGGCUUCCUGGACCGACACUGACGCUGAGGCGCGAAAGCUAGGGGAGCGAACG